GACGAACGCUGGCGGCGUGCCUAAUACAUGCAAGUCGAACGCACUCUCGUUUAGAUUGAAGGAGCUUGCUCCUGAUUGAUAAACAUUUGAGUGAGUGGCGGACGGUGAGUAACACGUGGGUAACCUGCCCUAAAGUGGGGGAUAACAUUUGGAAACAGAUGCUAAUACCGCAUAAAACCUAAACACCGCAUGGUGUAGGGUUGAAAGAUGGUUUCGGCUAUCACUUUAGGAUGGACCCGCGGUGCAUUAGUUAGUGGUGAGGUAAAGGCUCACCAAGACCGUGAUGCAUAGCCGACCUGAGAGGGUAAUCGGCCACACUGGGACUGAGACACGGCCCAGACUCCUACGGGAGGCAGCAGUAGGGAAUCUUCCACAAUGGACGAAAGUACUGAUGGAGCAACGCCGCGUGAGUGAAGAAGGUUUUCGGAUCGGUAAAAACUCUGUUGUUGGAGAAGAAUGUAUCUGAUAGUAACUGAUCAGGUAGUGACGGUAU
RNAcentral lists this ribosomal RNA (493 nucleotides) under uncultured bacterium. RNAcentral's name for it is "bacterial SSU rRNA". It matches the Rfam family "Bacterial small subunit ribosomal RNA", at positions 28 to 478 of the family's 1533-position model. The record is from RNAcentral.